CAAAUUCUAUAAAUCUAAAUUCCCCCAAAGGGAAUAAGAGUUGUUUUCCCCAUAAUGUCGUAAACACAUUGCUCUUUACAAAAAGGGGGCGAGGACCUCAUGGCGACUCUGCUGGGGAUUUCUUUAGGCUUUUACCAUUACAUGCUUUGUGUGACUUUACUGCUUCCUUAAUUGCCUUUAUUUCUUGCCUUUAGUUAUUUCAUCAUGGAAACUAACUUGACGCUUCAUGUCUUUCCUUUCCUUUAACUAUUUUAUUACUAUUUCAAUAUAGCAACACUUAUAAUGGGUGGUUGGGCUCUUCC
Molecule: long non-coding RNA, 302 nt
Filed under: Nicotiana benthamiana
Lineage: Eukaryota; Viridiplantae; Streptophyta; Magnoliopsida; Solanales; Solanaceae
Description: long non-coding RNA (NBEN_LNC015670)
Source: RNAcentral